UACUUGUUUCUGGGGAUGUCGUAAACGGCAUGAGAGUAAGUUGUGAACUUAGACCCAUUGAACCUGUCAGUUAAUACUGGUGAAGGGAGAAACAUAGCAAACGCU
Molecule: regulatory RNA element, 105 nt
Organism: Enterococcus thailandicus
Lineage: Bacteria; Bacillati; Bacillota; Bacilli; Lactobacillales; Enterococcaceae
Rfam family: TPP riboswitch aptamer (THI element)
About the family: Vitamin B(1) in its active form thiamin pyrophosphate (TPP) is an essential coenzyme that is synthesised by coupling of pyrimidine and thiazole moieties in bacteria. The previously detected thiamin-regulatory element, thi box was extended, resulting in a new, highly conserved RNA secondary structure, the THI element, which is widely distributed in eubacteria and also occurs in some archaea.
Source: Rfam